Molecule: ribosomal RNA, 519 nt
Filed under: uncultured bacterium
Lineage: Bacteria
Description: bacterial SSU rRNA
Rfam family: Bacterial small subunit ribosomal RNA
Source: RNAcentral
AGACGACGCUGGCGGCGUGCCUAAUACAUGCAAGUCGAACGGUCUUUUCUAUGGAAGCUUGCUUCCACUGAGAAGAUAGUGGCGAACGGGUGAGUAACACGUGGGUAACCUGCCCAUAAGAGGGGGAUAACAUCCGGAAACGGGUGCUAAUACCGCAUAGUUUUUCUUGAUCGCAUGAUUGAGAAAGGAAAGACGGCCUUUGUGCUGUCGCUUAUGGAUGGACCCGCGGCGUAUUAGUUAGUUGGUGAGGUAACGGCUCACCAAGACGAUGAUACGUAGCCGACCUGAGAGGGUGAUCGGCCACAUUGGGACUGAGACACGGCCCAAACUCCUACGGGAGGCAGCAGUAGGGAAUCUUCCGCAAUGGACGAAAGUCUGACGGAGCAACGCCGCGUGAGUGAAGAAAGGUUUUCGGAUCGUAAAACUCUGUUGUCAGAGAAGAACAAGUUGGAGAGUAACUGCUCCAGCCUUGACGGUAUCUGACCAGAAAGCCACAGCUAACUACGUGCCAGCCGCCGC